Molecule: non-coding RNA, 10110 nt
Organism: Myodes glareolus (Bank vole)
Lineage: Eukaryota; Metazoa; Chordata; Mammalia; Rodentia; Cricetidae
Source: RefSeq, a predicted model, not a curated record
UAGGGUUUUUUUUUUUUUAACCAUUUUUAGUAUAUUCACUGUUCCCCAUCCAAUCUCUCAAAUUGCCUGUAAAAGAUGUUGUUAGCCUUACUUUGAUUACCUAAGGACAAACACUAGAAGGAAACAAUGGCUGAAAAUUUACAGUUCAUUUAAAAAAGGAAAACAUGAUAACAGACACUGUGAUUUAUGGAGUCUUACAAGCCUGCGGAGUCCUGGGAGCAGCAACAACAGCCUGUCACUCACAGCUGAAGGGCUGGCCUUAAACAGCGUCUAUAAUGCCUAAGACCGCUUUUCCACAUAGCAGAGCUAAUUUAUAAAACGGAGCAAGAUCUUUAAAUACGUAAGGAUACUUAUUCAACCACUUCUGACCUUUGGCAAGCUUGCUUUGUCUGAGAUCUAUUUUCACAGAUUAUAGGAUAAUAGACACUCCUGAGAUGUGAAUCGACACCUCCCGAUGAGAAUAACUGAAGGCGCGCGCGAACCCGUUUUUCCUCCCAUUAAGACAAGCACAACACUGAAUUAGGGACGGAGCAACAUAAUUAAUAUGAAAGUGGGGUCAGCUAACAACUUAGACAUUCAUUUUGUGGAAAAUAGGAAGUUGACAAGCACAGAGGUUACACAGCCAGUGAGCGUCUGUGAGUACUUCCCCGGAAGAGCUCCGAUAGAAACAUAAUGGGUCCGGCUUCUUUCUCUAGCUUCUUUCUUGGCACGGUUGUAGGCUCCUUCGUACACUUAGCUUCGGAGUCUAAAAGGAAUAGUUCAGUCAAGAGAGCUUUGCAGCUCCCAGGCAGACAGAACCAUUUCUGAAUUGCAGAAGCACUUAAUUCUUUCUCACUUUAGGUGUGAAAGCCACUUGGGCGACAGCCCAGGCAGGGUAUUGCAGACUAGGAGUGAAAAAACUCUUGGCCUCUGAAAAGAAACAGUAGGGGAGAAAAUAUUCAGUUACCAUUUACUAAGAGACCAAGAAAAAAAAUACUGCAUUUAGAAAAACUUGCUUCUGGCAACCACGCUUAAGACUCUCAAAUUUGGAAGUUAAACAUGGGGAAAUGUUCUAAACGGAUUGCGGCCUAUUUGUCUAUCGCUCUUUCUGAAGUGGCAAUCUGGGCGACUGGAAAGUACGAACACAUCUCUAUUCUGGUGCCGCUUGCGGAGCGCUGCAAGUUACAGAACGGAGAGGCUCUGUUGGGCUGCUGCUUAUAAAUAGGAAAAGCUUGGUUCAUGCCAUUGAGGGGGAGCGUCUGUUUGGUUGUUUUGCAUGUGUGUGAGGGCAGCUAGUGUGUAUGUAUGUGAUGGGACAGAUUGGCCGCUGUGAGCCAGCAAGUGGUAACAGAAGGAAGAGCGGGCCCGGUGAAUAACCACUCUCUAAUGCUCUCUGAAGAGUGAGGAUCUUUCCAGAGCCAGAAGUCCUCGUGACUGCCUCACACAAGUGUCUCUGGCUUCUGCAGGGGAACAGAGGAGGGCUCCAUAAUGUCCCAGAGCCCUAGAGUUGCCCGUAGCUACCUGGCAGAGGUGGUAGCCAUUUUACAAGACUACACAGAGAAACCCUGGCUUGAAAAACCAAGGUGGAAUUGAAAAGAGAGUAAAAUGAGUGGCAGCAUUUGCUGAGUAGGUCACUGUAUCUAUCACUCUGUCUCCAAACCUCCACAGUGACACUAUUACUGCCGUACACAUCAUACCACCUUGGCUUGUGUAGGUCCGCUCUGUGAUCUUCACUAAGUGGUACUGUCACCUAACUACAUGGCUCUCGAACUCUUACAUUUUGACUAUAUGUAGUUAGUGUUAGCAGGGAAAACCAAAGUUAGGAAAGCAAAGAGAUCAGUACAAACAAAUCUCUUUGCGUUCUUUAUCUCUUCCAGCUAGCAUUGCUCAGGGUUAUUGGCUUUGCUUUCGCCUCCUCUGAGGAAAAGUGCACUUUGAUUUGAGUUGCACCGGGAUUCUUACUGUGGAGAAAGACCAAUGAGCCUUUGCAGAUGGCUUGGGUGCUACUCAUGGGAGAGGGAACAGCAGUGACUGGCCAUCUCUGGCAGUUCUCUGGAGGCUAUCCAAGGUAACAGUCCUGGUUUACAAUGAAAUUAUUAGCCAUUUGUCAGCCUUCUGUGAGCUCUUUAGUCUCUAGAAGCAAAACAGCCUUCUGCAGGGUUUGCUGUUCUUCACUUUUCCCCUAGAAUCUUGCAGGUCAAGAGCAUAUCUAGCUCUUGGAAUGGAAUGUGUUUCCCGCUCUUUUCUAUCCAGUCCCUGGCUCAACUUAUAGGGAUGCAUCAGAGUUUAUCUUAUCUUAGUGUUUAGAUAAACCAGCAACUUCCCCAUGGUUUAGUGCUUCACGAACAUCACCAGAGAGAUGGUUUGAAGCUGAUGAAAUCAGCAAUAGCCAAUGAUUUCUAGCCUUCUAUCAGUUUUCUUUCUUUCACAAUAACUUGCUUAAAAACAAAACAAAACACUGUCCUGUUGUAUUAUAAGAUUGCUGUACACAAUCUUUCAGGAUCUUAGCUCAACUGGGUUGAACACAGCCAAACCCUUCAUUCUUACAGUUAGAUCAAGGAAGAACAGGGUUAUGGAACUGAGGAAGCUUUCACCAGGUUGUUGGUAGCCAACAAAUGAAUAAGCAAACGAGUAAAAAAGGCAAUAAGGUUUGCAAACUAAUUAAUUCAAAGGAGUCUUUCAUCUGUUUAAUGACAUCUGUAUAUGUUAGGAAUGUCUUUGUUAUAGUUGAUGGAGACAGCAGAUGGUUAAUAUUUGGUUUUAAUGAUCUAUUUGCCCUCCUCCUGUGCAAAUGAUCAACUGUAAAUGUGAUGUUUGCUGUCUCACUAUCAUAUACCUGCAUUGCCCAACUCAUUAGUGGAGAGGUUAUGAGAAUGUAAAAACAGAAGGGACUAGAAAGAAGAAAAUGAUUUGAUUUGCUGCAGAGCAAGCAAGCAAACAAGCAGAAGGGAGCCCAUUUGUGUGACUUGCGUGUGUGUUUGAGUGUGCAUGUGUGUGUAACUCUAUAUAUAUGUAUUUGGAUGUCUUUUAAAUAUAUAUAUUUAAUAUUGUAGAAAUUAUUUGCAUGCAGGUCAGUUGUGCUUUUUGCCAUCAUUUUAGUGCUUAGAGAUCUUUGGACAGAUUGUUAAUAUCAGAAGUUUUAACUUUUUGCAUGUGGAAAGUCGCUUAAGUUCUUUCUCAUCUAUCCUCCUCCACCAAAUCUCCUUCCAUCUCUUUGUUUUCCCUGCUUCCUCACAGCCUAAGCAAGGACCAGGUGAGACUGGCUUCUCUAACAUCUAACAUCAUACCCUAGGGAGUUCUACUUAUCACAGAGACCUAGAGGGGCUGACGGAAGAAUAUGUGGCAUUCCGUGACUUGAGAUGCAAUCUUCAGUACAGGGACAGUAAGCCACAAAGUCCAUAACUAAUACCAUGCAGAGUUCUGAGAACUAUUGCCCAAUCCUCACCUUUUAUUCAACUGCCUGGAAGGUUAAAGAACUGCACUCAGGCUACAUCAGAGAUGCACUCACUUGGGGGUGUGCGAGAGUUGAGUGGCUGAAGUGCUUAGGUAAGCGAAAACGCAGAUUCACUUGUAAAAGAUUUUGCUCUGAUAGUACGCAUGCAGGAGAGUCCUGCGAGAGCUGCUGUUCCCAGUUGGGCUAAGCCUCCAUUUUCUUAUUUAUGUUUGUGGCUGCAUAGGUAUUUGUAAGUCACCCACCAUUUGGAGCACUGCUGCAUGGAAUCUGAGAAACAUUCUCCCUUGUUGAAUAUUCGAAAUUCUCCUAAAUCUGUAGCUCUAGACCUGAUAUGAGAAGCUGUAGUUUUUGGUACAUAGCUGUAGAUCUUUUUUAAUGAAAUGGUGAAAGUAUCUAUUUUAUAUUUAUAUAGAGAUGAAAACAGUGUAUAAUUUUCAUCAGUGGUAAAUUUCAUCUAAUAUGUACAAUCCCAGCACAAUGUUUGAACAUGGUAUGUAAGAGAAUUUUACUGACAGGUCUAGUUGGCACUGCAUCAGCAGACAGAGUUCUUCAAUGAAAAUUAGAAAUAAAAAAACUCAACAAUGAUAUUUGAAGGAAAAUGCCUAUUUUGGCAUUGCUAUCAAUUGAGUAUAAAAUAUGUGAAAGUGUUGAUUGCAGCAUAAUUAGUGCUGCUGAAACAAAGACAAGAAAAUUAAAUUUUAUGGGCUAUAUUUGUAAAUUAAUAGGAAUUAUUUUACAGCUAUCAAGCGUCACUGGACCAUCAAGCAGACGAGCAGACAUGUACAAUAUAAUUAAGCCAAGUCGUUUUUGGAGAGGUAGAUGAAUAUCAUUCAUGCAAAACUGUAGCAUUAAGCAGGUUUUUUUUAUUUUAUCAUUCUGAAAUCAUAUGUUUAUGUGAGGAAAGGGAUAGAUGUCUGUUACUUAUGACUUCUCAGCUUUUUUUUUUAAUUCUGUAGUUAUUUAUAUUAACGUGGCCAUACAUUUUUACUUCUCUUCGCUUCUCCUCAUGUUUGCCGUCAUUGCCCGCUCCCUUCACUUACUAUUUUGUUCCUAUGCUAUAUCGAUUAUUUUUUUCUUUCUUCUUUGUCCUUAUAUCAAGUUCCUAAACAUGUACUAUUUCUUUAUUUAUAAAAAUUAAAUUAAAUGCAUAUCCGAACCAUCAUCUCUCUCAGAGAGCAAAAGAUUUCGUCUUUGCCACUAUGAGAAUGGAAUCCUCUAUUUUCUGGGGCCACAGGAGAAUCAGAAAGCUUAACCUGAAAUCAGGAGAGGGCUCUCUCACAUCAAAGCAUUAGCCUGAGUGUGGAAUUCCUGUGACUUGUAAGGCUGGGGACUCUCAGUCAGUGCUCAAGUUGGUAGCUUGUGAGUGGAUCCCAGGCUCCCCCAGGUCUGGCAUCCAUCUCCUGAGGUCCUCCUUAGAUGGGAGAGUUCACGUGGGGUUGCAACACCCAACCCCUAGCCAGUCAGGGGACAGUUUCUGUUUCUUGGAGUUUCCUGCAUUGUCCCUUCUCACUUCACUCCUGAGGCUUCAUCCUUGGAAAUUCCUUCAGGAAUCCUGCUCCUUUGCAAAACCACAUCCCUCAGACCAAUCCUGUAAAGGUAACUUCUGCUAUUAAGGGCCACAGACUCCUCCACAGCAAGGAACUAAACACAAAUACUUGGCUAUCUGCUGGGAAGAAAGAGAACAAAGAAACAGAAAAUUAAAAAAGAAAAAUUAAGACCAUUAUACAACACAGUAAGAUUUGUAUACCCAGAGAAAUAUCUGCUUAAUUCUGGAGAUCAAAGCGGUUUGGGGCUAAGAACCUGGAUCAGCUAAUUCUGAGCAAUUUUAAAUGUGAUGGAGAAGGCAACUCAGGAGUGCAUUAUUGGCCAGAAAGGAAGCCAUUGCACCCAACUGGUGUCUACCCACCUUCUACAGUGGCCACCACCCCAAACACAGAUAGGUAAGAUUUAAUGUGCUUGAAGAGCUCUUUCCUUUGGAUAUUCAUUUGUCAACAAAGAUUUGAUAGUCAUCUUUUAAUUGCUGGGCAAUUAAAAUUAAAAGAAAGAAAGAAAGAAAGAAAGAAAGAAAGAAAGAAAGAAAGAAAGAAAGAAAAGAAAUGAAGGAAAGAAAGAACAAAUGUACAGUGACGAGACACAGGUGUGUCCCAAAAACAUGCUGAGUAAAAAAUGUUUCUACAGAAGGUCAAGUACUGUCUGGUUCCAUUUACUUAGAAUUCUAGAUUAGGCUAGACUAAUCUAGGAGGGUUAGCCAGAACAAUGAUUGUCUGGGGAGAGCAGGAAUUAAAGAAAAAGAGUGGAGGAGCUGUCAGGGUUAAGGGAUGGCUUGAGUGAGCUCUGGCUUAGACAGGCAUGUGUACUCCAGAGGUCCUAUGAUGGUUACUUAAUAUCUGGGGAUUUUACUAUGUGUGCAUUUUACCCCUGAGUAAAUAAGCAAGAAGGGAAAGGGAGGGAGCAACACAAGAGGCAAGAGAGGAAAUAAAGAAGAAAAAGGGAGGAGGCAGGAAAGAAAAAGACAGAGACAGUGAGACUCACAGAGAGUACACCAAAUAUUGAACUUAAUUAUACAUUCUUGAUGGAGUUCUAAGUAUCACGGUAUACUAAUGUCCUCUUUGGGAUACAUGAAAAUGGCUAGGUGCAUUAAUGAAUAGAACAGAUCUGAAAUCGUGAAAAUAAGGUAGGUGUUAACUAUUGUAGAGUCUAGGAAGAGGCUCUCUGGAGUCACUUCAUAUGCCUUUAGAUUUAUCAAUGUUUUGAUGAUUUUUCUUAAAUUUUACUUAAAGUAUUAAGUAAAGAUUAUUUCAUAUUUAUUGAAGACCUGUAAUUUGUUGAUCAGUGUCAGGUGGACUGCCUCUAAUUUGGAAGACAAUAACUUAUGAACUUUUUUUUUCUCUUGCAAAUUAGGAAUUUGGUCAAAUAACUUCACCAAGACUCAGUGUUAGGUCUGUCUGUUUUCAGAAUCUACCCUGUGGGAUUAUCAAUUACAUAUGACUCUUGAGCCCUUGAAACAUGACUAAAGAACUGAGUUCAUAAUUUAUUUAAUUAUUUGUUCAUUUAUUUGUUUUUUGUUUUUUUGAUAGGUUUUCCUGUGUAGAAACUCCUUCUGUAGACUAUGGCAGCCUUAAAACUCACUCCCACCUGACUCUGCCUCCUGCAUGCUGGGGUUAAAGGCAUAUGCCACCAUGCCUGGUUAUACUUUAAUUUAAAUUUUAACUGCAAAACUGAUACUCAAUUCACUUAUUGGAAAACUCCAGGGGAGUGCUGGAUAAGUCACAGGUGUGUGUGUUAUAGCAGGGGUAAGUGAAUCUAUUUUUUUAACAGUACCUUUCCUUUAAUUUGAACAUCAAAUUAAAUGUUCUAGUGAAAACAGCAUUUGCACUUUGCUUCACUGUGAGUGUAAAACAGACAUAUUUGGAAUACAGCGAAGAACAGUAAAAUGCCUUAAUAAUUUAUAUUGAUAAAACGUUUAAGACUUUCGAUAGAUUGUGUUGUUUUCAAAUAUUAAAGUGUUUUUAUUGUGGCUGGAGAGAUGACCUAGAGGUUAAGGGCACUUAUUACUCUUGUUGAGAACCAGUGUUUGGUUCUCAACACCCACAUUUGGUGACUCACAUCUCCCUGUAACUCCAGCUCCAGGGAAUCUAUUUCGGAGGGAAUCAUGAUUCGGAGAGGAAUCAUGCCUCUCCGGGCAUGUACUAGUGUAUACACACACACAUACACACACACACACACACACACACACACACACACACUCACACACACUAUAUCUCUGUGGGCCAGAGUUGGAAGUUGGUCAGUACCCUUUCCAGUGUACCAGCACAAUGUCACUUUGAGCGAGUAGGUGUGGGUGGAGGGUGGAGUGGCUAUAUUCUGAGUCACUGGUAAACCUCCAAUAGCACUUACAUACACCAGGAACUACCCUUGUGACUCAGUACUUAUUAAUUCAUAAAGUCCUUACCACAACCCUAUUAAUGGGCGCUAUUAUUAUCCCAUCUUACACAGGAGAAACUGACAUACAGAAGCACACGCACAAAUAUUUAUUAGCAGUUAUGUCAAAGUAAAGGAAUUUCUGCAGCCAGAUAUUCUUGAAUUUUAAAUUUAAUAUCUUGGAAUUGUCUUUAAACAGCUUUAAUUUAGAGACUUGUUUUCUUUUCUUGUUUUUCUUUCUUCCUUUAUUCUUUCUUUGGUUUUUGAGACAGAGUUUCUGUGUUCUGGAAGACCCUUAGUAGACCAACUGGCCUCGAACAUACAGAGAUCAGCCUGCCUUUGCCUCCUGAGUGCUGAGAUUAGCACCACCCAGUUUAGAGAUUCAGCUGCAAGCGUUGUGACUUCUGAGAAUGUUGUCUUCUUAGGAUGCUGGCCCCGGUUUCUGGUACAGCAGUGCAAUUUGAAUCAUGUUUCUCUUUCCAGAACGUCAGUGCUUUUCUGAGCAAUGAAACUAGAUAACGAACCUACAAGGGUACAAUUGUGGCAGAGCAAAGGGCCUGUUAGAGGGGCCACUCUUGGGAACUCAACAGCUUCAUUCAGUACAGCAGGGCCACCUCUCCUAAAUGUCAUCCCUCUCAGUGGGCAAGCACAAAGCAAUGCAACUGUUUUCAUAGCAGAGAUUUGAAUGGCAGUCUGGAAGUCACGAGGAAUGGCUUUCUGUCUUGUUUUUUAUUUGUUUAUUUGUUUGUUUGCUUUUGUUUGUUUUCCAGAAAGCCACAGAGGGCAAGGUGACUUGCGCUCAAUAAGAGGCUGCAAAUCCCCUGUGUGUAAGCUCUGUUUAUUUUGAAUAAAGCACAAAUUGGCUUGUCUUCUAGAAACCACAACAGAGAAACACAAGUUAGUCCUCAGAAGUUACCUGAUCCUCUUUGGAUGGAAGGCAGUCUCCGACUUCUGUGCCAGAGACCAACACUCUCUUUUUACGAGAAUGUUUGAAAAGCUGAGAGACUGACAAGUGUGGGCGCCCCACCCAGUCCACUGACCUCCUUUGAGAAGUACUAACCUGAAUGGUACCUCUCCAGUACCCUGAACUUCUGACCCACAAUGGUCCUUGAAGCUGCCUGGAACUCAGACUCUGCCCAGCCCAGCCUCACUCAACGAAAUGCAGGUCAACUAGAAGCCACCUCCACAUCCAAACUGGGGAGAGAAAGGUCCUCCACACGUGUUCCACUGCCCCCUUCAGCUGAACCGGAUCAGGUAAAGUUUUAGUCUCUACAGUCCACUGCUGCGCCCCCCCCCCUCCACACGCCACCGCCUUUUGUUCUAAAUCAAGAUGGCAAAUUCCAAAGACUCAUUUGACUCUGUGUGAAUUACUCUUUAGUUCCAGACACUCCCAGCUCCCACUAGCAUGCUGAUGUCGUGGAGUGAAAGCAAGUUUGUUUUCACAUCUCUCUUCCAAGUUUAUAAUCUGGGUUUAUAAUUUUCUGCUAAAAGGCUAGGUGGCCGAAUUUGGCUGGUCAGAGCCCAUUUGGAACCCAUCACAUUUUAAUUUGUGAAUAAACACAAGGAGCCUGUGUCUCUCCUGGACAGAAACAGCUGAGCUGUUCUUGUCACAGGAGAUUGAGAUAUUGUAAAACUUGGGCUUUAAUCUCUUCCCCCUUUUGGCUGUCCUUGUCCCAGAGUCAGGCCUUUUAAAAUCUUGUUAAAUACAUUACAGCCUCUGUUUAUUCUAGGAACUCACUAAGAGGAGGUGUCAAUGAUGUAAACAUUACAUGAAAGUAAGGGCUGCAGAGAUGAAAAUGGUGCUUAAUGGAACAGCCUCACUAGGGGGAAACAGGCCCUGACACUGACCAGAGCUGGUCCCACAGGGAGCGGCUCCCUUUCCAGAAAAAAAAAGAAAAAAAGAAAAAGAAAAAAAAAGCUCAUACUGCCUUUUAGUAACCUUUAAAAACUAUCUAUGCUUGUUUACACAAAAGUGUUUCAAACCCUCUCCUGCUAUAAAUUGUGUAUGGCUCAGCCUGUGCAUUAGGACUCAUACUAAAUGUCUUUAUCUGGAAAGAUAAAAGAAAUAUUUACGAUUCCUCUGAAAUGUAUUUGCUUUUCCCAUGACUUUGGCUAAUAAUGUGGUCUCCUAAAAGGAGCCGCUUAAGACCGGCUGUUUAUCUUACAGCACAAACAGUAGCCUAAGGCCUCUGAUGUUUUCUGACAUCUAAAGUCUAAUGAAUAAUUAGGACUACCCUUAUCCCCACUUCUAAAAAAAAAACUCUUCUCUAAGAAGAGACUGGUUUAGGAAGUUUACCUUGUUCUUAAGGAGGGCCAUGGUGAAUUGUUUUGCUUUCCCAGUUUGGUUUCUUGAGUUCAUAUAUGAUUAAAGGAAAUACAAAUUAAAACCACAAUGUAAUUCCAGCAUAUAACACCAGACCUGAGUGUAUAAAUCUCAAUAGCAUCAAGUGUUAGUAAGGAUGUGUUGCAAAGAGAAAUUUCCUAUAAACUGGUAACAAUGUGACUUGGUGCAGAAACUUUGUACAAGCAAUUUCAUCUCUUAGAGUAGAACUCACGAACACUAUACAAUUGGCCAUUGCCCCUCUUAGCUAUAUGACUAGGACCUUAUUGCAUAGGCAUACUAUAGAAUUGAUACAAGGAUCUUUUCAUUAGUGUAGUUUCUAAUAGCAAAAUGCCCAGACAGAAACUCCAAACAAACCACCCUGUUACAGAGCAGCUAAUUAAGUGCUGUUGUGUUCAUAGAACAGAAUACAAUG